AAAUAUAAGGCGUAUAAUUUUUGUUUACGGUCUUUUUUUUAGAAACACAGUACAAGCGCAGACGCUCACAACACGCGCGUGACCUCGCCCAUUAGGAUGCAUCGGGUGCAAUCGAGAGCGCGGUAAAAGCACACGCAUGUGUAAGUUCUUUUUCUGUAAAUUAGCGACCCGAUUCCUCAAUUUUAUCUUGCUUCCACUAAAUCCUUUUUUUCUUGAUCCUCCGAAAGCAAACCGAUCGAGAGCGUAUCAUGUAGUAGGUGGGACGGGACGACAACUGAACCAUUGGCCGGGCGAGCGUCUGAACCAGGUGGGGUGGUGGAGCAAAAGGAGGAAGCGGGGAAUGAUGCGGCGGUCGGAAAGGAAGGAAAGCAGUCGCGCGUGCCGGGAGAGAGCACGAGAUGUUCCUUUUUGCUACUGCUCCAGGCUCCAGCUAGCUCUUGGGGACCCCUGCACCACUUCCGGCACAACAAACUUGGACAGGAGGAUUAUAUAUAUACGUAGUACCUGCGGGGCUGCAGCUGUGGGUCGAUCCUUCCUUGUAAAUUAACUGCAAACGAUGCAAGGGAACCGGCUGCAGAUCCUCGUCGGCCUCGCCGCCCUUCUCCUCGCGGCAUUCGCCACCCCGGCCAGCAGCGCCGCCGUUGUUGGCUCGUACGACAGCAGCGGCCGGGCCGUCAUCAGCCACGCCGCUGCUCGUGCCAACACGGCGGCGGCGGUGGCAGGGGCGUUGAUGAGGCGCCGGGUGGAGGACUCGGUGGCGCCGGAGCCGAUGAUGGGCAGCCAUCUCCUCCUGGGGAAGGGCGUCAGCGAAAGCGCCCUCGACAAGAACCACCAGGCGUGCACGGGGCCGUGUCCCGCCGCGGGAGGACCCUACACCCGGCCCUGCACGUACAAGGAACGUUGCCCGCCCUGAUGAUCGCUGGAUCAGUGAUCAUAUGCUGGGCUGCUUCCCUCGUAUCAGCCCAAGACGAUCGAGAUACCGCAUGUGUUGAGGGCUUUGAGGUACAUCGACGGAGAAGCAAGACAUGCAUGGUUGAGGUAGGGAUUAACGUUGUAAAGUCUGGACGUGGAUUUAAGCUUCUCGCUCGUCGCCUUGUGCAGUACUGCCUUCGGUCCAGGUUUACGAGCCGCACGAACUUUUAUGCCGAGCUUUUGCCAAUAAUUAUACAAAUAUUAUUUAGUUAUGUCAUUGUCAUUAGAAAGUGUUUAUAGCAGGGUGAAUUCCAUUUUUACGCCAUAUC
Long non-coding RNA from Brachypodium distachyon (stiff brome), 1241 nucleotides. RefSeq lists it as uncharacterized. The record is from RefSeq and is a predicted model, not a curated record. The transcript has 2 exons. Lineage: Eukaryota; Viridiplantae; Streptophyta; Magnoliopsida; Poales; Poaceae.